This 343-nucleotide long non-coding RNA is filed under the name Coffea arabica (coffee). Its description in RNAcentral is "long non-coding RNA (CARA_LNC001268)". Lineage: Eukaryota; Viridiplantae; Streptophyta; Magnoliopsida; Gentianales; Rubiaceae. The record is from RNAcentral.
CCAACAAUACAAGCUACUAGAGUGACGAUUCUAGCACAAAUGCAUAAAUCAAACUUCAUAAAACAAGUUUAAGGAGUUAGAUGGCUACCUACUUUGAUGGCUGUUCAAAUCAGAAAAUUUUGGUCCCUAUGAAGCCUGAAGACAGCCGUGAAACUCCUCCCUUUUCCAGCCUAAGUUGUUGUCCAAGUAAAAAGCUAAAUGAAUGUGAAGUUUGGUGAGAAUCUAUGGAAGUUUUGGUAGUGAUUUGGUGAAUUUUGGAAGAGGAAAUGUUGAAGUCUUUGGUUGUUUCCUCUGCAGCAGCUGGCCGACCAUGAAGCUAGAAGGAAAGGAAAUGCGGUUUCUG